CCCAACAGAGCAAUCCGGCCCAAGACCCUUUAAUCUUUAUCUCUUUAUCUGGUUGUUAUCCAUAACCUCUGCCAUAUCAACGCAAACAGCAACAACUUCAACAAACAACAGCUUCCUCACCCCAAAAAUUCACGAACAGUAAUAUAAAUCGUCCAAGUCAAAGACAGAUCUUAUCCCUGCGAAAUCCCCUCGAAUCUGCUGAGAUACAAUCUUCAAAAUCUCUUCACAUCUGAUAUCUUAAGCCUUCAUUGUUGACUUUAGGCUUAUUGUUGCCCAAAAUUCAAUCUUAUGACAAAAUCAUCAAUCAAGUUCGGAUUAUGGAGAUAUGUUUUAUCUCAUCUCAUUUCAGCCUAUGUCAAAUCUGAAAAGGGGUUAAAUUUGAAAUUCAAAUUGAUUGUUUUUUUACUAUAAAUAGCCGAACUUCCACCCUUUGAGAGGGAGCUUUUUUUUUAAGGUCUAAAAUUGAAAGAAAGAGUGAAAACUAGUGAAGAAAGAAGAAUCAUCAGAAAAGCCAUUGAGUCAGUAUCAAAAUAUCAUCUAGUUCCCAGUACUUUCCUCCUUGUUUUCUUACUUUCUUUCCAAAAUCGAAGUUCGAGUUCGUGUUUGGAUCUCCAACGGAAAGCCCUCUAGUUCGCUGCCCUCCACCAGUGGCAGGAAAAUAUUAACCAAGUUGCAGAGAUUUUGUUUGUCGAGGUAAGCUAUAGACAUCUUUAUAUGACAACAUGCUCCUCUGAAAGUUUUACUGUCCAGUGAAGGCCUUUUGCGCCCUAUUUGUCAUUUUGUAGAGUGAGUUUUAAAGGGGUAAGUGAGCUGCCCCGUCUUGUUCUGUUCAUUACCUAUUCUAUCUCGUUUUAUACCAAGUGGGUUAUACGCAAGUAAGUAUGUAAUGUAUGUAGUUACUUGAGAAUAUGGGUCAAAACAUUUUACUCUCUUGCUUACAGAUUAUAGAAAAUAGGCGCGCAAGAAGUAUCUUCUGCUUAUUGAUAUGGAGAUUUUUUUGGGGUGCUUUAAAUUACUUGUCCUUUUUUUUUUUUUUGAGCUUUCCGAAUCUGUCUACUGAGUUCCAGAGGAGAAUCUGCCGCACUGGUAAUGUAUUGUUGGGUUGUAUUGAUGAUUAUUAAAUCAAUUAGCCAAGGAUAUUAAAAUGCAUGUUAUGUGUUACCCUUUGUAGAUCAUGUGUUUUUCUUGUCUAUGCUUUUAUUAAUUGUGACGCAAUAACAAAAGAUAUAUACCCAUGGAACAAAGUUUAUACUUAAGCGUAUUCUUCUCUGUUGAGGCAAUUUUAUAUAGCUAUGAACACCUUGGCUGGCUUCAUGUCAAAUUUGAUGUAGUUGGUAGUUUGCUUUCAGCUUAUGAUUAGUUAAUAUGAGAUACUUCAUGUCUUUGUUUAAUUUCUCUUUUGAAUGUGUUCAGAAUCUUUUCUUUUCCAUAUCCUGUUAGAAAAAAAAAAACAAUAAAUAUGUGACUAAAUAGCAACGAUUUAGGAAUUUUCAGCCAAAUCGGUUUAAGAUUAAUCGCCUAUGAUUGAAGCAGUGUAUUAUUUGUCUUAAAGUAUUGGUUAGACUUCCUCUACGUGUUUAUUUUUACCAUGUUCUUUAUCAAAUAAAAAAAAUCCACUUUGGUAUGUUGUGUGUCUCAAGUAAAAAGGUUAUUUUAAUCGUUAGAGAAACUUGUGAUCGUGAUAUAAACCAACCAUGUUUCCCGUCUAAAUAAAUGAUUCUUUGCAGAUAAAGAUACUUGUUGCAGACACCAUAUUUAUAGAUUUAUCUUCUUGACUGAAGUUGUUAAAUUGAAACCUUAUUUAGCAUGCUACAUCUAGGCUUUCGGCGGAAAGUGUUUUUCCUCUUUUUCCUUGUACUAUAGCUUUAUUAUCGUAUCUUUUCUUAGAAUUUAUAGUCACAUAUAGAAGUUAACAUGACAUGAAAGAUCCUUUGGUGCUAAUAUAGUAUUUCAUAAAGAGUAGUUUCGGUUCCUUUCUGUUUCUGUGCAUAUUCAUUCUAUAGUUUUUAUUUCUUCUAUUCUUUUAAGAAGUUCACAUCAUAUUCCUCUCAAGUGAAGAAUAAUUUUCUCAUUUCUAAUCCUUAUCUUUUUCUGUAUCAUGUGAACUCGGAAGCGUGUUUGGAGUCUCAUGGCUUGACUCCAUCUCUGUCCAAAUCAGAGAAGCGACAAUAGGCUAUUACGUGCUUCGUCUAAACAGGCUAUGUUGUUUAAAUAGAUUUACAUUUACCUAAGUUAUCCGCACUUAUCCGCACCCCCCUACAAUUGGUAUCAAAGUCAAUGUUGUUUAAAGUUAUAGAAGUAGUAUAUAUUUGAACUUA
Molecule: long non-coding RNA, 2318 nt
Organism: Capsicum annuum
Lineage: Eukaryota; Viridiplantae; Streptophyta; Magnoliopsida; Solanales; Solanaceae
Exons: 2
Source: RefSeq, a predicted model, not a curated record